This is a non-coding RNA of Hyaena hyaena (striped hyena), 635 nucleotides long. NCBI's taxonomy places the organism in Eukaryota, Metazoa, Chordata, Mammalia, Carnivora, Hyaenidae. The record is from the annotation of a RefSeq genome assembly.
CCAGCCCCGGGAGUCCCAGGUGUUCCCAUUCUGUGAUCAGGACAGAACACAGACAUCUCACCAUGGACUUUGUGCUUGGCUGGGUUUUCCUUGUUGCUGUUUUAAAAGGUGUCCAGUGUGAGGUGCAACUGGUGGAGUCUGGGGGAGGCCUGGUGAAGCCCGGAGGGUCCCUGACACUCUCCUGUGCAGCCUCUGGAUUCACCUUCAGUAGCUAUGCCAUGAGCUGGGUCCGCCAGGCUCCAGGGAAGGGGCUGGAGUGGGUUGCAUACAUUUAUAGUAGUGGAAGUAGCACAAGCUACGCAGACUCCAUGAAGGGCCGAUUCACCAUCUCCAGAGACAACGCCAAGAACACACUGUAUCUGCAGAUGAACAACCUGAGAGUCGAAGACACAGCCACGUAUUUCUGUGCGAAGGACACAGUGAGGGGCCAUCAGUCUGCCCUUCUGGGACAAUCCCGCAUCGACCGCAGUGCCACAAUACCCACCCCUGCGGAUAAGAGGGCACAUGCCACUGUGCUUCCCUACAGUGGUUGUUUUCACACCCAGCUAAGUCUCCUGAGAGAAAAUGCAGGAACGCCAUGCCACCAGAUGGACAGAUGCUUAAGACACAUACAAGAUCUCUCUUAUGUCAAUUGA